UCGCCAUCCACCACAGAAGCAUGUUUAUGAAUGAUAGUUAAAAUGAAAUUACUCCACAACUAACUUAAUAGCAUUCGACACUGCAAUUUUCGUAGUUUACCUCUUCCUCUCCUCUUGCUAUGGUGGUUGGUUCUUACUCACCCAAAAUCCAAACAAACUUGGCGGGAAAAGACGCCAUUGAAGAAGGUCAAAGUCAGAGUAAGCUCCUAUCUCAGUUCCGGCCAGGGCCAGUCCUAGUAGGCCACACGCGCAAGAUCAGGAUAUUGGCGUCAAAUCCAAAGGCAGAUAUAGAGAACCUUGAAGAGUUGCUACAGGAAGAUAAUUUUCUUCUUGAAUAUGGAGUUAGGAGAACAAGGACGGUUUCCGGUGUUGAUUUUGAAGUUGAAGGAAAGCGGUAUACAGAGAAAAAGGCCUGCAGUUGUUUUUCUUCACAGUUCGUAGAGUGACAAAGAAGCGGUGCGUCCAUUGCUUGAGGUUGCUAUGGUUCGGGACAGAAUUGCUCCAGGUUUACCUUCACAAUUUGAUUCACCUUAUUCAAUUCCAACCUUCGUGCCCUGUCUUAUUCUUAUCGGUGCGAAAGAUCCCCUGGAAAUUCCAAGAGCAAGGCAAGCCUGGUAUACAGAAAGUUUCACUGUUUAGAUAAUUUCAAGGUAUGAACCUGAAUUGUUUGGUGACUUCGGUGAGAAAUUUAAACUUGCCAUUGUGAUCAUCCGCUAUCACUUUAAUAAGAAUGGAUUUAACAGUCGGUCGAAACCUGAAUCUUCCGAUUUAAACGAACAAAAACGAUAAAGGCAAUUUCAAUAAUAAUAAAAAUGACAUGGAGCACUGAUGGUGGAGAUUUUAGAUUGAAGAGGAUCCAAAUGAAAAUCCAAUGUAAGAAGAUCCAUAUAUAUAUCGAGAUGUUGAGACUUGGGAAACGACACAUGUGUUGUGUUGAUCGUAAUCUGAGUUGGGUAGAGUUAUCAUGUCAUGAUAGCAUUGAGGUGAGUUGUUACUACUAAUAUACUUCGAAUGUGAAUUUUCCACAAAAUGAUGAACACUUGCUGGAAAAUUUAUUAUAUAUUGUGCAUGGAUCACAAGGUGAAUUGAAGACAUACUCAAAGCAACAGGGCAUGCUUAUGCUAAUGUUAUAGUGGAUGUAAAAGGUGAGUGAUCGAAACUCUUAAUAAUUG
RNA transcript from Vigna unguiculata (cowpea), 1172 nucleotides. RefSeq lists it as uncharacterized. Lineage: Eukaryota; Viridiplantae; Streptophyta; Magnoliopsida; Fabales; Fabaceae. The record is from RefSeq and is a predicted model, not a curated record.